UAACUGGAGAGUUUGAUCCUGGCUCAGAACGAACGUUAGCGGCGCGCUUAACACAUGCAAGUCGAGCGAGAAAGGGCUUCGGCCCCAGUACAGCGGCGCACGGGUGAGUAACACGUGGGUAAUCUACCCCUGAGUGGUGGAUAACCCUCCGAAAGGAGGGCUAAUACAGCAUAAGACCACGACGUCCUCGGGCGUUGUGGCCAAAGCGGGCCUCUUCAUGAAAGCUCGUGCUCGGGGAUGAGCCCGCGGCCCAUCAGCUUGUUGGCGAGGUAAAAGCUCACCAAGGCAAAGACGGGUAGCUGGUCUGAGAGGAUGAACAGCCACACUGGAACUGAGACACGGUCCAGACUCCUACGGGAGGCAGCAGUGGGGAAUCUUGCGCAAUGGGCGAAAGCCUGACGCAGCG
RNAcentral lists this ribosomal RNA (406 nucleotides) under Myxococcales bacterium. RNAcentral describes it as "bacterial SSU rRNA". It matches the Rfam family "Bacterial small subunit ribosomal RNA", at positions 1 to 393 of the family's 1533-position model. Lineage: Bacteria; Pseudomonadati; Myxococcota; Myxococcia; Myxococcales. The record is from RNAcentral.